AAGAGAGAGACAUGCGCGCAUAUCAAUAAGCGGAGGAAAAGAAACUAACUAGGAUUCCCUCUAGUAACGGCGAGUGAAGCGGGAAGAGCUCAAAUUUGAAAUCUUCAAGGUUCUACCUUGACGAAUUGUAGUUUAAAGAAGUGUUUUCUGUUGGAGUUUUGGUAAAAGUUCUUUGGAAUAGGACAUCAUAGAGGGUGAGAAUCCCGUAUUUGACCUAUUCUUUCUAGCUGUGUGAUACACUUUCAAAGAGUCGGAUUGUUUGGGAAUGCAGUCCAAAAUGGGUGGUAAAUUUCAUCUAAAGCUAAAUAUUGGCGAGAGACCGAUAGCGAACAAGUACCGUGAGGGAAAGAUGAAAAGAACUUUGAAAAGAGAGUUAAACAGUACGUGAAAUUGUCAAAAGGGAGGCGUUUGACACCAGUGUUGUUUUCUCGAAAAUCAAUUAAAAAUGGCUGGGAUUUUGUGUUGUAUUGACUUUAUCAGCUCUCUGCACUUUUUUCCUAUCUUUUUUAAUGCACUUUUCGUUUAACAAGUCAACAUCAACUUCUUUUGUUGUAAAAGGGUCAUUGGAAGGUGGCUUUCUUUUCGGAGAAAGUGUUUAUAGCCUUUGACUUCUGCAAUCGGAGAGAUUGAGGUCUGCAGCGUAGAUCCUUCGGGGUUAGAUACAUUUGUGCUAAGUUAUAGCCUUUCAUAGACAACUAGUUGACUAUGAUCAGUCAUGUAGCUUACUCGCUUAUGUCUAUUUUACCUACGCUUAGGAUGUUGACAGCAGUAUAGACUGU
RNAcentral lists this ribosomal RNA (779 nucleotides) under uncultured Neocallimastigales. RNAcentral's name for it is "partial large subunit ribosomal RNA". It matches the Rfam family "Eukaryotic large subunit ribosomal RNA", at positions 23 to 633 of the family's 3401-position model. Lineage: Eukaryota; Fungi; Neocallimastigomycota; Neocallimastigomycetes; Neocallimastigales. The record is from RNAcentral.